Molecule: long non-coding RNA, 336 nt
Filed under: Elaeis guineensis (African oil palm)
Lineage: Eukaryota; Viridiplantae; Streptophyta; Magnoliopsida; Arecales; Arecaceae
Description: long non-coding RNA (EGUI_LNC048440)
Source: RNAcentral
CAUGAUAUCAUAUAUCUCAUAUACUAAUCAUGGAUCAGAUUAAAAGUAAAUUUAUAAUCUAAAUAUGUAAACAUAUAAUACAUAUAUGAAUCAAAAUUUAGAUCAUAUAAAAAUUUCAAAUUUUAUGCAUGCAUCUAUGUAUCACAUAAACAUGAACUAGAACUAUUUUUAGAUCAAAAUUUAGAUCUAUGCAUGCAAUAACAUAUCAUCUAUAUAUUCUAAAAUUAAAUCUAAAAUCAAAUUUUUAGAUUAAAAGAUUCAUCUAUAUAUCUCAUGUAUCAAAAAAAAAUCUGAUUUUGAAAUCUUCUCAAAAAUAUGUAUAUCAAAAUUCAGCAU